GACGAGCGCUGGCGGCGUGCUUAACACAUGCAAGUCGAGCGAUGAAGCACCUUCGGGUGUGGAUUAGCGGCGAACGGGUGAGGAACACGUGAGGAAUCUGCCUUUCACUUCGGGAUAACUCCGGGAAACCGGGGCUAAUACCGGAUAUUUUCAACUGGCGGCAUCGCCGGUUGAAGAAAGUUUUUCGGUGAAAGAUGACCUCGCGGCCUAUCAGCUUGUUGGUGAGGUAAUGGCUCACCAAGGCGGCGACAGGUAGCCGGCCUGAGAGGGCGACCGGCCACACUGGGACUGAGAUACGGCCCAGACUCCUACGGGAGGCAGCAGUGGGGAAUAUUGCACAAUGGGCGCAAGCCUGAUGCAGCGACGCCGCGUGAGGGAUGACGGCCUUCGGGUUGUAAACCUCUUUCAGCACCGACGAAGCGCAAGUGACGGUAGGUGCAGAAGAAGGACCGGCCAACUACGUGCCAGCCGCCGCCGUAA
Molecule: ribosomal RNA, 480 nt
Filed under: uncultured bacterium
Lineage: Bacteria
Description: partial 16S ribosomal RNA
Rfam family: Bacterial small subunit ribosomal RNA
Source: RNAcentral